GACGAACGCUGGCGGCGUGCCUAAUACAUGCAAGUAGAACGCUGAAGGAGGAGCUUGCUUCUCUGGAUGAGUUGCGAACGGGUGAGUAACGCGUAGGUAACCUGCCUGGUAGCGGGGGAUAACUAUUGGAAACGAUAGCUAAUACCGCAUAAGAGUGGAUGUUGCAUGACAUUUGCUUAAAAGGUGCACUUGCAUCACUACCAGAUGGACCUGCGUUGUAUCAGCUAGUUGGUGGGGUAACGGCUCACCAAGGCGACGAUACAUAGCCGACCUGAGAGGGUGAUCGGCCACACUGGGACUGAGACACGGCCCAGACUCCUACGGGAGGCAGCAGUAGGGAAUCUUCGGCAAUGGACGGAAGUCUGACCGAGCAACGCCGCGUGAGUGAAGAAGGUUUUCGGAUCGUAAAGCUCUGUUGUAAGAGAAGAACGAGUGUGAGAGUGGAAAGUUCACACUGUGACGGUAUCCUACCAGAAAGGGACGGCUAACUACGUGCCGGCAGCCGCGGUAAUACGUAGGUCCCGAGCGUUGUCCGGAUUUAUUGGGCGUAAAGCGAGCGCAGGCGGUUAGAUAAGUCUGAAGUUAAAGGCUGUGGCUUAACCAUAGUAGGCUUUGGAAACUGUUUAACUUGAGUGCAAGAGGGGAGAGUGGAAUUCCAUGUGUAGCGGUGAAAUGCGUAGAUAUAUGGAGGAACACCGGUGGCGAAAGCGGCUCUCUGGCUUGUAACUGACGCUGAGGCUCGAAAGCGUGGGGAGCAAACAGG
This 763-nucleotide ribosomal RNA is filed under the name uncultured Streptococcus sp. RNAcentral describes it as "bacterial SSU rRNA". It matches the Rfam family "Bacterial small subunit ribosomal RNA", at positions 28 to 776 of the family's 1533-position model. Lineage: Bacteria; Bacillati; Bacillota; Bacilli; Lactobacillales; Streptococcaceae. The record is from RNAcentral.